UGUGAWCAAAUGCGAGUACCUCCCUCGGCGGCCUUGGCCGUCCUCGUAGCCGCAUCCUGGARASUAGCAUGGGUCAUGGRUUUGCCUUUCACCUGUUGAAUGGGACAAGCAUGCAAAGCGUUACGUCGACCUCUGUGYGGCUGUCCUCUUGGAYWCGAUCACAUGGGUUGUUUGAGAUCAAAACAGGUGYCUAGGCACCAAUUGGUCUGAUUCUCAAACAUA
This 222-nucleotide unclassified non-coding RNA is filed under the name Dahlia pteropoda. RNAcentral's name for it is "partial external transcribed spacer". Lineage: Eukaryota; Viridiplantae; Streptophyta; Magnoliopsida; Asterales; Asteraceae. The record is from RNAcentral.